RNAcentral lists this ribosomal RNA (253 nucleotides) under uncultured bacterium. RNAcentral's name for it is "partial 16S ribosomal RNA". It matches the Rfam family "Bacterial small subunit ribosomal RNA", at positions 524 to 776 of the family's 1533-position model. The record is from RNAcentral.
UACAGAGGUGGCAAGCGUUGUUCGGAAUUACUGGGCGUAAAGGGCGCGUAGGCGGCCUUGUAAGUCCUGUGUGAAAUCCCCCGGCUCAACUGGGGAACUGCACAGGAGACUGCUUGGCUUGAGUUCGGGAGAGGGAAGCGGAAUUCCGGGUGUAGCGGUGAAAUGCGUAGAUAUCCGGAGGAACACCGGUGGCGAAGGCGGCUUCCUGGACCGACGCUGACGCUGAGGCGCGAAAGCCAGGGGAGCAAACGGG